Molecule: ribosomal RNA, 498 nt
Filed under: uncultured bacterium
Lineage: Bacteria
Description: partial 16S ribosomal RNA
Rfam family: Bacterial small subunit ribosomal RNA
Source: RNAcentral
AUUGAACGCUGGCGGCAUGCCUUACACAUGCAAGUCGAACGGUAACGCGGGGCAACCUGGCGACGAGUGGCGAACGGGUGAGUAACGCAUCGGAACGUGCCCAGUAGUGGGGGAUAGCCCGGCGAAAGCCGGAUUAAUACCGCAUACGACCUACGGGUGAAAGGGGGGGGUCGCAAGACCUCUCGCUAUUGGAGCGGCCGAUGUCAGAUUAGGUAGUUGGUGGGGUAAAGGCCCACCAAGCCUUCGAUCUGUAGCUGGCCUGAGAGGACGACCAGCCACACGGGGACUGAGACACGGCCCAGACGCCUACGGGAGGCAGCAGUGGGGAAUGUUGGACAAUGGGCGCAAGCCUGAUCCAGCCAUGCCGCGUGCGGGAAGAAGGCCUUCGGGUUGUAAACCGCUUUUGUCAGGGAAGAAACGCUCUGGGCUAAUACCUCGGGGUAAUGACGGUACCUGAAGAAUAAGCACCGGCUAACUACGUGCCAGCAGCCGCGGUAA